RNAcentral lists this transfer RNA (70 nucleotides) under Cephalopachus bancanus (Horsfield's tarsier). RNAcentral describes it as "tRNA-Ala". It matches the Rfam family "tRNA". From Rfam's summary of the family: Transfer RNA (tRNA) molecules are approximately 80 nucleotides in length. Their secondary structure includes four short double-helical elements and three loops (D, anti-codon, and T loops). Lineage: Eukaryota; Metazoa; Chordata; Mammalia; Primates; Tarsiidae. The record is from RNAcentral.
GAGGACUUAGCUUAAGUUAAAGUAGCUAAUUUGCAGUUAGUUGAUGUAGAGUGAGUCUUUGCAGUCCUUA